This 501-nucleotide ribosomal RNA is filed under the name uncultured bacterium. RNAcentral describes it as "partial 16S ribosomal RNA". It matches the Rfam family "Bacterial small subunit ribosomal RNA", at positions 29 to 523 of the family's 1533-position model. The record is from RNAcentral.
AUUGAACGCUGGCGGCAUGCCUUACACAUGCAAGUCGAACGGCAGCACGGGUGCUUGCACCUGGUGGCGAGUGGCGAACGGGUGAGUAAUACAUCGGAACGUACCUUAUCGUGGGGGAUAACGCAGCGAAAGCUGUGCUAAUACCGCAUACGCCCUGAGGGGGAAAGCGGGGGAUCGCAAGACCUCGCGCGAUUAGAGCGGCCGAUGCCUGAUUAGCUUGUUGGUGGGGUAAAAGCCCACCAAGGCGACGAUCAGUAGCUGGUCUGAGAGGACGAUCAGCCACACUGGGACUGAGACACGGCCCAGACUCCUACGGGAGGCAGCAGUGGGGAAUUUUGGACAAUGGGGGCAACCCUGAUCCGGCAAUGCCGCGUGAGUGAAGAAGGCCAUCGGGUUGUAAAGCUCUUUUGUCAGGGAAGAAACACCGGCUCUAACACAGUCCGGGAAUGACGGUACCUGAAGAAUAAGCACCGGCUAACUACGUGCCAGCCGCCGUCGUAA